UGUGUUGUUGGGUAGGGGAGCGUUCUGUAAGCCUGUGAAGGUGUGUCGUGAGGCAUGCUGGAGGUAUCAGAAGUGCGAAUGCUGACAUAAGUAACGAUAAAGCGGGUGAAAAGCCCGCUCGCCGGAAGACCAAGGGUUCCUGUCCAACGUUAAUCGGGGCAGGGUGAGUCGACCCCUAAGGCGAGGCCGAAAGGCGUAGUCGAUGGGAAACAGGUUAAUAUUCCUGUACUUGGUGUUACUGCGAAGGGGGGACGGAGAAGGCUAUGUUGGCCGGGCGACGGUUGUCCCGGUUUAAGCGUGUAGGCUGGUUUUCCAGGCAAAUCCGGAAAAUCAAGGCUGAGGCGUGAUGACGAGGCACUACGGUGCUGAAGCAACAAAUGCCCUGCUUCCAGGAAAAGCCUCUAAGCAUCAGGUAACAUCAAAUCGUACCCCAAACCGACACAGGUGGUCAGGUAGAGAAUACCAAGGCGCUUGAGAGAACUCGGGUGAAGGAACUAGGCAAAAUGGUGCCGUAACUUCGGGAGAAGGCACGCUGACACGUAGGUGAAGUGAUUUACUCACGGAGCUGAAGUCAGUCGAAGAUACCAGCUGGCUGCAACUGUUUAUUAAAAACACAGCACUGUGCAAACACGAAAGUGGACGUAUACGGUGUGACGCCUGCCCGGUGCCGGAAGGUUAAUUGAUGGGGUCAGCGCAAGCGAAGCUCCUGAUCGAAGCCCCGGUAAACGGCGGCCGUAACUAUAACGGUCCUAAGGUAGCGAAAUUCCUUGUCGGGUAAGUUCCGACCUGCACGAAUGGCGUAAUGAUGGCCAGGCUGUCUCCACCCGAGACUCAGUGAAAUUGAACUCGCUGUGAAGAUGCAGUGUACCCGCGGCAAGACGGAAAGACCCCGUGAACCUUUACUAUAGCUUGACACUGAACAUUGAGCCUUGAUGUGUAGGAUAGGUGGGAGGCUUUGAAGUGUGGACGCCAGUCUGCAUGGAGCCGACCUUGAAAUACCACCCUUUAAUGUUUGAUGUUCUAACGUGGACCCGUAAUCCGGGUUGCGGACAGUGUCUGGUGGGUAGUUUGACUGGGGCGGUCUCCUCCUAAAGAGUAACGGAGGAGCACGAAGGUUGGCUAAUCCUGGUCGGACAUCAGGAGGUUAGUGCAAUGGCAUAAGCCAGCUUGACUGCGAGCGUGACGGCGCGAGCAGGUGCGAAAGCAGGUCAUAGUGAUCCGGUGGUUCUGAAUGGAAGGGCCAUCGCUCAACGGAUAAAAGGUACUCCGGGGAUAACAGGCUGAUACCGCCCAAGAGUUCAUAUCGACGGCGGUGUUUGGCACCUCGAUGUCGGCUCAUCACAUCCUGGGGCUGAAGUAGGUCCCAAGGGUAUGGCUGUUCGCCAUUUAAAGUGGUACGCGAGCUGGGUUUAGAACGUCGUGAGACAGUUCGGUCCCUAUCUGCCGUGGGCGCUGGAGAACUGAGGGGGGCUGCUCCUAGUACGAGAGGACCGGAGUGGACGCAUCACUGGUGUUCGGGUUGUCAUGCCAAUGGCACUGCCCGGUAGCUAAAUGCGGAAGAGAUAAGUGCUGAAAGCAUCUAAGCACGAAACUUGCCCCGAGAUGAGUUCUCCCUGAGACUUAGAGUCUCCUGAAGGAACGUUGAAGACGACGACGUUGAUAGGCCGGGUGUGUAAGCGCAGCGAUGCGUUGAGCUAACCGGUACUAAUGAACCGUGAGGCUUAACCUUACAACGCCGAAG
This 1741-nucleotide ribosomal RNA is filed under the name Salmonella enterica. RNAcentral's name for it is "partial 23S ribosomal RNA". It matches the Rfam family "Bacterial large subunit ribosomal RNA", at positions 1217 to 2925 of the family's 2925-position model. The record is from RNAcentral. Lineage: Bacteria; Pseudomonadati; Pseudomonadota; Gammaproteobacteria; Enterobacterales; Enterobacteriaceae.